GUGGGGAAUAUUGGACAAUGGGCGCAAGCCUGAUCCAGCCAUGCCGCGUGAGUGAUGAAGGCCCUAGGGUUGUAAAGCUCUUUCAACGGUGAAGAUAAUGACGGUAACCGUAGAAGAAGCCCCGGCUAACUUCGUGCCAGCAGCCGCGGUAAUACGAAGGGGGCUAGCGUUGUUCGGAUUUACUGGGCGUAAAGCGCACGUAGGCGGAUUGUUAAGUUAGGGGUGAAAUCCCAGGGCUCAACCCUGGAACUGCCUUUAAUACUGGCAAUCUCGAGUCCGGAAGAGGUGAGUGGAAUUCCGAGUGUAGAGGUGAAAUUCGUAGAUAUUCGGAGGAACACCAGUGGCGAAGGCGGCUCACUGGUCCGGUACUGACGCUGAGGUGCGAAAGCGUGGGGAGCAA
RNAcentral lists this ribosomal RNA (400 nucleotides) under uncultured Mesorhizobium sp. Its description in RNAcentral is "bacterial SSU rRNA". It matches the Rfam family "Bacterial small subunit ribosomal RNA", at positions 354 to 771 of the family's 1533-position model. The record is from RNAcentral. Lineage: Bacteria; Pseudomonadati; Pseudomonadota; Alphaproteobacteria; Hyphomicrobiales; Phyllobacteriaceae.